GGGAGAGUGGCCGAGCGGUCAAAAGCGACAGACCGUAAAUCUGUUGAAGGUUUUCUACGUAGGUUCGAAUCCUGCCACUCCCA
RNAcentral lists this transfer RNA (83 nucleotides) under Oryza sativa (Asian cultivated rice). Its description in RNAcentral is "tRNA-Tyr". It matches the Rfam family "tRNA". Rfam says of the family: Transfer RNA (tRNA) molecules are approximately 80 nucleotides in length. Their secondary structure includes four short double-helical elements and three loops (D, anti-codon, and T loops). Further hydrogen bonds mediate the characteristic L-shaped molecular structure. tRNAs have two regions of fundamental functional importance: the anti-codon, which is responsible for specific mRNA codon recognition, and the 3' end, to which the tRNAs corresponding amino acid is attached (by aminoacyl-tRNA synthetases). tRNAs cope with the degeneracy of the genetic code in two manners: having more than one tRNA (with a specific anti-codon) for a particular amino acid; and 'wobble' base-pairing, i.e. permitting non-standard base-pairing at the 3rd anti-codon position. The record is from RNAcentral. Lineage: Eukaryota; Viridiplantae; Streptophyta; Magnoliopsida; Poales; Poaceae.